RNAcentral lists this ribosomal RNA (499 nucleotides) under uncultured bacterium. Its description in RNAcentral is "bacterial SSU rRNA". It matches the Rfam family "Bacterial small subunit ribosomal RNA", at positions 28 to 524 of the family's 1533-position model. The record is from RNAcentral.
GACGAACGCUGGCGGCGUGCUUAACACAUGCAAGUCGAGCGGUAAGGCCCUUUCGGGGGUACACGAGCGGCGAACGGGUGAGGAAUACAUGGGUAACCUACCCUCGAGUGGGAAUAACUAGCCGAAAGGUUAGCUAAUACCGCGUACGCUCCUUGGACUUCGGUUCAGGGAGGAAAGCGAUACCGUGGGUAUCGCGCUCUUGGUUGGGCUCAUGUCCUAUCAGCUUGUUGGUGAGGUAACGGCUCACCAAGGCUUCGACGGGUAGCUGGUCUGAGAGGACGAUCAGCCACACUGGCACUGCGACACGGGCCAGACUCCUACGGGAGGCAGCAGUAAGGAAUAUUGCGCAAUGGGCGAAAGCCUGACGCAGCGACGCCGCGUGGGGAUGAAGGUCUUCGGAUUGUAAACCCCUUUCGGGAGGGAAGAUGGAACGAGCAAUCGUUCGGACGGUACCUCCAGAAGCAGCCACGGCUAACUUCGUGCCAGCCGCCGCAGUAAU